RNAcentral lists this small RNA (76 nucleotides) under Xanthomonas euvesicatoria. RNAcentral describes it as "sX9". It matches the Rfam family "Xanthomonas sRNA sX9". RNAcentral also lists the same sequence under 1 other name. The record is from RNAcentral. Lineage: Bacteria; Pseudomonadati; Pseudomonadota; Gammaproteobacteria; Lysobacterales; Lysobacteraceae.
AUGUACCACUCGUACACUGCAGUUCCUGUGCGCCGUCCGCACCCACCUGACGACUGCUCGCGACAUUUUGUUAGCC